Molecule: ribosomal RNA, 253 nt
Filed under: uncultured bacterium
Lineage: Bacteria
Description: partial 16S ribosomal RNA
Rfam family: Bacterial small subunit ribosomal RNA
Source: RNAcentral
GACAGAGGGGGCAAGCGUUGUCCGGACUGACUGGGCGUAAAGCGCGCGCAGGCGGUUCGAGGCGUCGGUGCUGAAAGUCCACCGCUUAACGGUGGGAUGCGUGCCGAUACGCUCGGACUGGAGGGUGGGCGAGGGUGGUGGAAUUGCCGGUGUAGUGGUGAAAUGCGUAGAGAUCGGCAGGAACACCAGUGGCGAAGGCGGCCACCUAGCCCGCACCUGACGCUCAAGCGCGACAGCGUGGGGAGCGAACUGG